This 77-nucleotide long non-coding RNA is filed under the name Eptatretus burgeri (inshore hagfish). Its description in RNAcentral is "Mammalian CPEB3 ribozyme (ENSEBUG00000000082.1)". It matches the Rfam family "Mammalian CPEB3 ribozyme". Rfam says of the family: The mammalian CPEB3 ribozyme is a self cleaving RNA located in the second intron of the CPEB3 gene which belongs to a family of genes regulating messenger RNA polyadenylation. This ribozyme is highly conserved and found only in mammals. Lineage: Eukaryota; Metazoa; Chordata; Myxini; Myxiniformes; Myxinidae. The record is from Rfam by way of RNAcentral.
AGUCGUGUGUGGGGGACACGGAAGGAGCGUUCACGCCGUGGUCCCUGUCAGGCUUCUUUCUCCCUGUGAAUCCUCCU